UGUAAAUAAAAAUGUUAUAAUUAUUGAAAAACCACACCUAAAGUGCAUUAUGAUGAUUUAAAUAACGUGGUUUGUCCAAAAACGUGUGGUCCCUGGCAUAUUUCUUAGAGAUUUCUAUGCAGUACGCAAUGUGUUAAGAUGUAUCACAUUCUGCA
Molecule: long non-coding RNA, 155 nt
Organism: Myotis davidii
Lineage: Eukaryota; Metazoa; Chordata; Mammalia; Chiroptera; Vespertilionidae
Exons: 3
Source: RefSeq, a predicted model, not a curated record